UUAAGAUUAAGUUUGGAUUAGGAUUUAAGAUUUGAUUUAGGAUUUAUUUAGGAUUUAGGAUUUAGGAUUGAAGUAGAAUUUAGGAUUUGAAUUAGAGUUUUCUUAGGAUUUAGGAUUUAAGAUUUUUCUAGUAUUCAAAAUUUGCUUAAGAUUUAGAAUUUAGAAUUUAGGAUUUAUUUAGGAUUUAGGAUUUAAGAUUUUUUUAGGAUUUAUUUAGGAUUUAGGAUUUGGCCUAGGAUUUGGCUAAGGAUUUUUCUUCUAAAUCCAUUGGAAUUUCAACUAGGUUAAAUUAGGAUUUGGUUGAAAUUUAUUUGAGAUAUAUUUUUGAUUAUUCUAAUAUUUAUUUAGGAUUUCUUAGGAAUUCUUUUAAGAUUUAUUGUAGAUUUC
This 387-nucleotide long non-coding RNA is filed under the name Physcomitrium patens. Its description in RNAcentral is "long non-coding RNA (PPAT_LNC008606)". The record is from RNAcentral. Lineage: Eukaryota; Viridiplantae; Streptophyta; Bryopsida; Funariales; Funariaceae.